This 467-nucleotide ribosomal RNA is filed under the name uncultured Campylobacterota bacterium. Its description in RNAcentral is "bacterial SSU rRNA". It matches the Rfam family "Bacterial small subunit ribosomal RNA", at positions 29 to 506 of the family's 1533-position model. The record is from RNAcentral. Lineage: Bacteria; Pseudomonadati; Campylobacterota.
AGUGAACGCUGGCGGCGUGCUUAACACAUGCAAGUCGAACGAGAACGGGAUAAGGCUUGCCUUAUUUGUCAGCUAAGUGGCGCACGGGUGAGUAAUGUAUAGGUAAUGUGCCCUAGAGAGGGGGAUAAUUGAUGGAAACGUCUUGUAACACCCCAUAUGCCUUUAAGUCAAAAGACUGCAAGGGAAAUAUUUAUAGCUCUAGGAUCAGCCUGUAUGGUAUCAGUUAGUUGGUGGGGUAAUGGCCUACCAAGACUAUGACACCUAACUGGUUUGAGAGGAUGAUCAGUCACACUGGAACUGAGACACGGUCCAGACUCCUACGGGAGGCAGCAGUGGGGAAUAUUGCACAAUGGAGGAAACUCUGAUGCAGCAACGCCGCGUGGAGGAUGACACAUUUCGGUGCGUAAACUCCUUUUAUAUAAGAAGAUAAUGACGGUAUUAUAUGAAUAAGCACCGGCUAACUCCGU